GCAGGAAUGCGGCUCGUGGGAACGCAGGCUCGAGGGUGCCCUCCUCUAUUGACGGCGCACAGGUCGGUGUCAGCUCUGAUUAUCAUAAAACCCAGCCGGCUUCAAAUUAAGGCACGAGGGCUCGGGCUGGCGGUCUUUCUUUCACACCAGGCAGGGGAGGAAUGAACAGGUCUCCGCGCGAGCCUGCUGUGGCCCUGUUUGACAAAUGUGAUAGGCCCCGGGUCGGCUGUAUUACCUCCUCCUCCUCCUUCUCAUCAUCAUCAUCAUCAUCACCCUCCCUCCCUGUCGCCUCCCUCGCUGUCUGCAGCCGCAGCUCCCACACUCCGGUCUGACCCGCUUUAUUCCGGAAAAUGUCGCCAACAACAGCCAUAAGAUUUACUCACAACGAAGACAAAUUGCCACAAGGCAGGAUGAGGAGCAACAUCCAGCCCGCAGAUGGAAACAAGGGUGGGUGGUUGGAAGGCUGGAUAAAGGCUGGUAGAUGACUGAACUCAGAGACCCGGCGCAGCUCAUCAUCAUUGCCAUGGGCUCUCGUCUUCUUCCUGUCCUCCCUUGGCUCAUACCUCCAUCCAGGGGUCCAGCAGAGCCAGUGAAGCCCAGGCGGGGAGCGAGUGAGUGGGCUGGGAAGGAUGGCGAAGGUCCCUAAAGGCUAGAACCACCUCUGGAGCUACCGGAAAGCAGGAGAAAUCAAUACAAAACACAGAACCUUCACAGCUCUGAGUGGGGUUUCCUGUGUUUUAAGUGUGUGGCCUAGGGGCCCGCAGACCUCCGAAGGACAGGCCCUGCGUGGCUCUCUCAGCUGCAGCCCUGGCUGCGUAGACCGGACCCCAGUCCCGACUUUCCACUGGCUGCGUGUGGUUCGGCUGAAGGGGAUUUCUCCCCAAAUAAUACCCAAUACCCAGAAUGUUGAAGACAGCCAAGAGGGAUAUUCCUUUCUCUUGAUUUAUUUUUUUUUUCCAUCAUAAGAUUGACAUAUCCCCCCACCUUCUGCCUCUGGCUGUUUAAAAACCAGUUUGGGAGUUCUGCUUUUUACUCACUCCUCCAUCUUCAAUUCGCCUGUUGUUUUAUUCCCCAACUAGUUUUUACAUUUGACAAAGAGACAGUGCGAUCUUUAUUUUCUCCUCCAAUCUCGGCUUACCGUUACUAUGGUGAGCCAGACACGUGUCUGUCCAAACCACAAAUACUGGCAUGUGAAGAGUGUGAACAUCUUUUUUUUUUUUUCUCCAUGAUGUUAUUCAGUUUCAGACUGUU
Long non-coding RNA from Mugil cephalus (flathead mullet), 1251 nucleotides. RefSeq lists it as uncharacterized. The record is from RefSeq and is a predicted model, not a curated record. Lineage: Eukaryota; Metazoa; Chordata; Actinopteri; Mugiliformes; Mugilidae. The transcript has 4 exons.